Molecule: ribosomal RNA, 301 nt
Filed under: uncultured bacterium
Lineage: Bacteria
Description: partial 16S ribosomal RNA
Rfam family: Bacterial small subunit ribosomal RNA
Source: RNAcentral
CAGCAGCCGCGGGAAAACGGAGGGUGCAAGCGUUAAUCGGAAUUACUGGGCGUAAAGCGCACGCAGGCGGUCUGUUAAGUCAGAUGUGAAAUCCCCGGGCUCAACCCGGGAACUGCAUUUGAAACUGGCAGGCUUGAGUCUUGUAGAGGGGGGUAGAAUUCCAGGUGUAGCGGUGAAAUGCGUAGAGAUCUGGAGGAAUACCGGUGGCGAAGGCGGCCCCCUGGACAAAGACUGACGCUCAGGUGCGAAAGCGUGGGGAGCAAACAGGAUUAGAUACCCGGGUAGUCCCUGUCUCUUAUAC